Molecule: long non-coding RNA, 517 nt
Organism: Mandrillus leucophaeus (drill)
Lineage: Eukaryota; Metazoa; Chordata; Mammalia; Primates; Cercopithecidae
Exons: 3
Source: RefSeq, a predicted model, not a curated record
GUGUUUAGUAGAAAGACAAUCCUUUUUUUUUCCAGUCAAUUUUUUCUUUGAUCUAUAGAACUCGCUUCUUUUCUCUGAAGUUUUCACAAUACAGCGUGAUAGAAGGAGCACAGAGUGCCAGAGGCAGGGAACUCCUAUGCUUCACCAGUGACUCAUAAGAAAACUUAAUAGAAGGUCUCUACUGCCCACUGGCCCUGCAGUACCUGAUCGAUGUGGUCCCAAAGUUAAGUAGGCUAACCUUCAUUGAACCAAGAACUUCAGAGGCAUGGGAAGAAGUAUGGGAGAAGGAGUCCUUGUACUCUGGCAAUGAGGAAAAAAAACAUUAACAGUGCAAGACACAGCGAGAAUCACAGAGCCAUGGAUGGACGAUCCUUUUGAGGACAAUAGAGGGGGAAUUUGGAUAAGUUUCCUGAGUGAGAAACCUUCCAGAUGGCAAUCUGAAAGUUAGUUGUUCCUUCUCAAAACACAGAGCUUUCUCAAGAGAAAGAUAACACUCUCCUUCAUCAGAGCGAGUGAG